RNAcentral lists this ribosomal RNA (465 nucleotides) under Vreelandella stevensii. RNAcentral describes it as "partial 16S ribosomal RNA". It matches the Rfam family "Bacterial small subunit ribosomal RNA", at positions 338 to 795 of the family's 1533-position model. The record is from RNAcentral. Lineage: Bacteria; Pseudomonadati; Pseudomonadota; Gammaproteobacteria; Oceanospirillales; Halomonadaceae.
CCUACGGGGUGCAGCAGUGGGGAAUAUUGGACAAUGGGCGAAAGCCUGAUCCAGCCAUGCCGCGUGUGUGAAGAAGGCCUUCGGGUUGUAAAGCACUUUCAGUGGGGAAGAAAGCCUUGGGGCCAAUACCCUCGAGGAAGGACAUCACCCACAGAAGAAGCACCGGCUAACUCCGUGCCAGCAGCCGCGGUAAUACGGAGGGUGCGAGCGUUAAUCGGAAUUACUGGGCGUAAAGCGCGCGUAGGCGGUCUGAUAAGCCGGUUGUGAAAGCCCCGGGCUCAACCUGGGAACGGCAUCCGGAACUGUCAGGCUAGAGUGCAGGAGAGGAAGGUAGAAUUCCCGGUGUAGCGGUGAAAUGCGUAGAGAUCGGGAGGAAUACCAGUGGCGAAGGCGGCCUUCUGGACUGACACUGACGCUGAGGUGCGAAAGCGUGGGUAGCAAACAGGAUUAGAUACCCUAGUAGUC